This 794-nucleotide ribosomal RNA is filed under the name Burkholderia sp. RNAcentral's name for it is "bacterial SSU rRNA". It matches the Rfam family "Bacterial small subunit ribosomal RNA", at positions 314 to 1079 of the family's 1533-position model. Lineage: Bacteria; Pseudomonadati; Pseudomonadota; Betaproteobacteria; Burkholderiales; Burkholderiaceae. The record is from RNAcentral.
UGGGACUGGGACACGGCCCAAAUUCCUACGGGAGGCAGCAGUGGGGAAUUUUGGACAAUGGGCGAAAGCCUGAUCCAGCAAUGCCGCGUGUGUGAAGAAGGCCUUCGGGUUGUAAAGCACUUUUGUCCGGAAAGAAAUCCUUGGCUCUAAUACAGUCGGGGGAUGACGGUACCGGAAGAAUAAGCACCGGCUAACUACGUGCCAGCAGCCGCGGUAAUACGUAGGGUGCAAGCGUUAAUCGGAAUUACUGGGCGUAAAGCGUGCGCAGGCGGUUUGCUAAGACCGAUGUGAAAUCCCCGGGCUCAACCUGGGAACUGCAUUGGUGACUGGCAGGCUAGAGUAUGGCAGAGGGGGGUAGAAUUCCACGUGUAGCAGUGAAAUGCGUAGAGAUGUGGAGGAAUACCGAUGGCGAAGGCAGCCCCCUGGGCCAAUACUGACGCUCAUGCACGAAAGCGUGGGGAGCAAACAGGAUUAGAUACCCUGGUAGUCCACGCCCUAAACGAUGUCAACUAGUUGUUGGGGAUUCAUUUCCUUAGUAACGUAGCUAACGCGUGAAGUUGACCGCCUGGGGGAGUACGGUCGCAAGAUUAAAACUCAAAAGGAAUUGACGGGGGACCCGCACAAGCGGGUGGAUGAAGUGGGAUUAAUUUCGAUGCAACGCGAAAAAACCUUACCUACCCUUUGACAUGGUCCGGAAUCCUUAAAAAGAUUCGGGGAGUGCUCCGAAAGAGAACCCGGCCCACAAGGUGCUUGCAUGGGUUGUCCUCCAGCUCCUUGUCCUUGAAAAUGUUGGG